AUAGAAACUAUACAGGUCUCUUCCUUAGAAUCUAAAGAGCAUCUAAGGUCAUUGGAAGCAAAGGUAGUCACAAUGCAGAAUAAGAUAACUGAUCUGGAGGACCGUGCUCGCAUAAAUAAUGUAAGAAUCAGAAAUAUACCCGAAACGGUUACUAAUGAUGCAUUAGAGCACUAUAUUAUAGAAUUUUUUGAAUCUAUGGAUCUCCCAAAUGAAUCUCCCCACUUAAUAAUGGAAAAAUUCCAUAGAAUUCGUAAGCCACCAUCUGUCCC
Non-coding RNA from Pelobates cultripes (western spadefoot toad), 269 nucleotides. The record is from the annotation of a GenBank genome assembly. NCBI's taxonomy places the organism in Eukaryota, Metazoa, Chordata, Amphibia, Anura, Pelobatidae.